RNAcentral lists this ribosomal RNA (254 nucleotides) under uncultured bacterium. Its description in RNAcentral is "partial 16S ribosomal RNA". It matches the Rfam family "Bacterial small subunit ribosomal RNA", at positions 524 to 776 of the family's 1533-position model. The record is from RNAcentral.
UACGUAGGGUGCAAGCGUUAAUCGGAAUUACUGGGCGUAAAGCGUGCGCAGGCGGUUCGCUAAGACAGAUGUGAAAUCCCCGGGCUUAACCUGGGGAACUGCGCCGGAAACCGACAGACUCGAGUACCGGAGAGGAGGGUGGAAUUCCUGGUGUAGCGGUGAAAUGCGUAGAUAUCAGGAGGAACACCGGUGGCGAAGGCGGCCCUCUGGACGGAUACUGACGCUGAGGCGCGAAAGCGUGGGGAGCAAACAGG